This 532-nucleotide ribosomal RNA is filed under the name Fiorinia externa. RNAcentral's name for it is "eukaryotic LSU rRNA". Lineage: Eukaryota; Metazoa; Arthropoda; Insecta; Hemiptera; Diaspididae. The record is from RNAcentral.
AUCUGGGCGGCGGAAUUCAGGAUGGCUGGCGGGCUUCGCGCUUGUCCGGUCGUUUGAUAUUUCCGUCGCCGUGUCGGACGUCGCGACCUGUUCAGUCGUCGGUCCCUGCUCGGAGGAAUCGCGAUCGAGUUCGUUGCGCGGUGCGUUUCGGCGUGCCGAGCGGCGAAGACGCGGCUCUCUGGCUGACGGCGGACAGUAAGCAACGGUGUCCGGCGUCGUGUCUCGCACUCGGCGCCGGUGCCGGUCUGCGACGAUUUCUUCGGGCCUCUUUCCGACCCGUCUUGAAACACGGACCAAGGAGUCUAACAUGCGCGCGAGUCGCGGGGUUUCGAGCGUACUACGGUGCGCUCGUUACUUGCGAAACCCGUACGUUGAAGGCGUAAUGAAAGUGAACAGGGAAGAUGGCGUUCCGAGUCCACGUACCGUGAUCGUGUGUCGCGGCCGGACGUCCGCACUCCCGGGGCGUCUCAAUAGCUCGUCGCGGAUGCGGACGGUCGUCUCUCGGGGCGGCUGUCGGUCUGCGACGGACAGA